This 211-nucleotide long non-coding RNA is filed under the name Lathyrus oleraceus (garden pea). Its description in RNAcentral is "Pisum sativum (pea) long non-coding RNA (PSAT_LNC013777)". Lineage: Eukaryota; Viridiplantae; Streptophyta; Magnoliopsida; Fabales; Fabaceae. The record is from RNAcentral.
CUUCGUAAAUAUAGGAAUCAUUCCUGAAACCCCAUAUACCAUGGCCUUAAUCAUCAUUUCCGUAUAAGUCCUUAGUAGUUUAUCUCAGCAGUCAGCUCCGGCCUACACAUCCUCUACGUAGGGGACCGAUGCAAAUAAGUGAAUGAUCCAGAAAAAAAAUAAAAAAAAUUAAAAGAAAGCAAAAAGGCAACUCCGGUAUAGGUGACCCUCA